Molecule: transfer RNA, 96 nt
Filed under: Xylaria nigripes
Lineage: Eukaryota; Fungi; Ascomycota; Sordariomycetes; Xylariales; Xylariaceae
Also listed under: 1 other name
Description: tRNA-Ile
Rfam family: tRNA
About the family: Transfer RNA (tRNA) molecules are approximately 80 nucleotides in length. Their secondary structure includes four short double-helical elements and three loops (D, anti-codon, and T loops).
Source: RNAcentral
GGUCCCAUAGCUCAGUUGGUUAGAGCGUCGUACUAAUAUUACAGCAAUGUAACAUUGGUAAUGCGAAGGCCGUGAGUUCAAGCCUCACUGGGACCA